Molecule: ribosomal RNA, 483 nt
Filed under: Actinomyces sp. 'ARUP UnID 52'
Lineage: Bacteria; Bacillati; Actinomycetota; Actinomycetes; Actinomycetales; Actinomycetaceae
Description: bacterial SSU rRNA
Rfam family: Bacterial small subunit ribosomal RNA
Source: RNAcentral
GGACGAACGCUGGCGGCGUGCUUAACACAUGCAAGUCGAACGCUGAAGCCUGGCUUUUGUUGGGUGGAUGAGUGGCGAACGGGUGAGUAACACGUGAGUAACCUGCCCCCUUCUUUGGGAUAACGCCCGGAAACGGGUGCUAAUACUGGAUAUUCACUGGCCUUCGCAUGGGGGUUGGUGGAAAGGGUUUUCUGGUGGGGGAUGGGCUCGCGGCCUAUCAGCUUGUUGGUGGGGUGAUGGCCUACCAAGGCUUUGACGGGUAGCCGGCCUGAGAGGGUGACCGGUCACAUUGGGACUGAGAUACGGCCCAGACUCCUACGGGAGGCAGCAGUGGGGAAUAUUGCACAAUGGGCGAAAGCCUGAUGCAGCGACGCCGCGUGAGGGAUGGAGGCCUUCGGGUUGUGAACCUCUUUCGCUCAUGGUCAAGCCGCAACUGUGGGUUGUGGUGAGGGUAGUGGGUAAAGAAGCGCCGGCUAACUACGU